CUCGCUCCCAUUUGAAAGAAACCCGUGACGUCAUUCUUACGUCAUGAAACUCUGGCUUUAAAUCAGGGAGAAAUAUUAAAUCAGCCUUCACAAUUUAGCAACAGGUCGACAAUUGCGGAUCUAAAAGUUUCAGGUUGAAAUAAAAAUAUUCAUUAUGUCACCAGACAUCUGGAUAGUGAUACUGAUGUUUACUUGCUGUCAAUUACAUCGAGUACACUCUCGGCUACCAUACCACACUUUCCAGCUCUCUAAACGACCGAUGGAUGGCAGCUCCUUCGAAACAGACAACGUUCCCUAUUCAGCAACUUAUGACAGCCCUGGUUUGAUGAAUAAUUAUCUAACGUUUUUAAGUCAUUUGGCAAAGAAAGAUCUCUCCACGGAUGACCGGACAAUCCCGGAUGCUCGCAGUCCAAAAAGGGACAACCGAAAAUUCCAGACACAAGGAUGGCGCUGAAUUCGGACUGUUGUGAAUUUUUGCCUUUUAAAAUAUAUAUUCUGAAAAUGAAAUAUGGAAGCGAUCAAAAUAUAUCGCUACAUCUCUAUGCUACUAUGUUAAAAUAUUUCUAUAGGUACACAAAAAUGUAAAAGAAAGGAUUACUUAUAAAACACUAAUACAUUUUGAUUGACGUGCUUUUACUUGAAAUUUAAAUCUUGUUAUGAAUGCUUGUCAAGCAGAUCUUCAACAAGUGAAGACCAUUUAAUGGAAAUACUCUACCAUCUUUGGUUUUAAUUUUUAAAUUACCAGCUGCGGAUAAGACUUACGUUCUAAAAUCAGAAAUACAGAAACAUUAGUGGAUGGUUGUUAAGAUCAUACCUUAAAUCAGCAGAGGAAGACGGUAUAUAAUGAGAUCAUAGGUUAAAAUGGACAGGGGAGGACAAUUUGAAAACGUUAGAUUCCCGCUUGAUUUUGUGGUACACUCCCUCGGCAUCUUAGGCGGUAAAUUAAUUCACAAAAUACUGAUCUUUUACUUUUCAGGUAAUCUCUUCCCAUCAUCCAAAUAAUUAAAAUAAUACUUUGAUUAUUAUACUAUAAUCUCAAUAUCUAUCAAACUGAUGAGUUAGCUUAAUUUUUUUAAGACUCCACUAAAUAACAAUGUUCUUAUAAAUGCCUAUGGGAUAAAAAUAGCUGCCCGUCAGCGUGUUAACAUUUUGGAACUGCGUAUAAAAUUUCAUUUUUAAUUGUUUUACUUUAAGACGUUGGUAAUUUAAGAUGCUGUAUCUUUGAAUUAAGUAAUAUACGGAUAAUAGCUUUGCCAGAUUUUAUUAAAGAAAAAUUAAAAGAUUUUUCAUGUUAUAUUACAUGCUCAUUCCUUAAACAUGAAUGGAAGUUUUGAACAUUUAUUUCGAUGUGAAGCAUAUAAAUAUAGCAAUAUGGCGAGAAUUGAAGUAAAUGCGACUUAUAAAUAAAACAUACAAGUUAACAAAAUGAAUAAAAAUAUUUAGCCAUGUAACAUUUAAAAAUUAAAUUUUCUUUACUUUAA
Stegodyphus dumicola is the source of this 1481-nucleotide RNA transcript. RefSeq lists it as uncharacterized. NCBI's taxonomy places the organism in Eukaryota, Metazoa, Arthropoda, Arachnida, Araneae, Eresidae. The record is from RefSeq and is a predicted model, not a curated record.